CAUUAGGUGACUGAAAGUAAGUAUUGGUCUCUUAAACCAUUUAAUAAUAGUUUAACAUCUAUUCCUAAUGA
This 71-nucleotide transfer RNA is filed under the name Ochthebius delgadoi. Its description in RNAcentral is "tRNA-Lys". It matches the Rfam family "tRNA". From Rfam's summary of the family: Transfer RNA (tRNA) molecules are approximately 80 nucleotides in length. Lineage: Eukaryota; Metazoa; Arthropoda; Insecta; Coleoptera; Hydraenidae. The record is from RNAcentral.